AAGGUUUAUGGUUUAGAGGAAAUAACACGGUUAAAGUUUUAGUUUUGAAAUUUAGAGUUUGUGGCGAAAUUGUCAGGGUUUAGGAAAAAUCAGGGUACUCAGUUAUGAAAAAAAUGUGCAGAUCUAAAUAUAUGUAUAUAAAAAAAAAACAUAUGAACAUGUAUUUGAAACACAGUAACAAAUAUAUCAACAAAAUAGAUAAAGUAUAUAUCAUAUAUAAA
This 221-nucleotide long non-coding RNA is filed under the name Lathyrus oleraceus (garden pea). RNAcentral describes it as "Pisum sativum (pea) long non-coding RNA (PSAT_LNC002740)". The record is from RNAcentral. Lineage: Eukaryota; Viridiplantae; Streptophyta; Magnoliopsida; Fabales; Fabaceae.